This 622-nucleotide ribosomal RNA is filed under the name uncultured fungus. RNAcentral describes it as "eukaryotic LSU rRNA". The stretch from base 261 to 414 matches the Rfam family "5.8S ribosomal RNA". The record is from RNAcentral. Lineage: Eukaryota; Fungi.
CUUGGUCAUUUAGAGGAAGUAAAAGUCGUAACAAGGUUUCCGUAGGUGAACCUGCGGAAGGAUCAUUAUCAGUUAAAUAGUUCGUAGCCACGGGCGGUCGCAAGACCGUCUUUGGGGUUACCCUAUUACCCAAUGUUUAACCUUCUUUGUUGCUUUGGCGGACCAGUGGGCAACCACCUCUGGAGCUCUCCAGCGUUUUGGCCGUCAGAGGAUCAUCAAACUCGAUCAAUUAGUUGUCUGAGUAAAAAUACAAUAGUUAAAACUUUCAACAACGGAUCUCUUGGUUCCGGCAUCGAUGAAGAACGCAGCGAAAUGCGAUAAGUAAUGUGAAUUGCAGAAUUCAGUGAAUCAUCGAAUCUUUGAACGCACAUUGCGCCCCUUGGUAUCCCGGGGGGCAUGCCUGUUCGAGCGUCAUUUCAACCCUCAAGCUCUGCUUGGUAUUGGGCAUCAUCCUCUGUGGUGAGCCUUAAAAUCAGUGGCGGUGCCAUCUGGCUCUAAGCGUAGUAAUUCUUCUCGCUAUUGAGUCCAAGUGGUUACUUGCCAGCAACCCCAAAUUUUCUAUGGUUGACCUCGGAUCAGGUAGGGAUACCCGCUGAACUUAAGCAUAUCAAUAAGCGGAGGA